AGACAGCAGCAGCCACGGUAAUACGGAGGGUGCAAGCGUUAUCCGGAUUUAUUGGGUUUAAAGGGUCCGUAGGCGGAUCUGUAAGUCAGUGGUGAAAUCUCACAGCUUAACUGUGAAACUGCCAUUGAUACUGCAGGUCUUGAGUAAAUUUGAAGUGGCUGGAAUAAGUAGUGUAGCGGUGAAAUGCAUAGAUAUUACUUAGAACACCAAUUGCGAAGGCAGGUCACUAAGAUUUAACUGACGCUGAUGGACGAAAGCGUGGGGAGCGAACAGGAUUAGAGACCCCUGUAGUCCCUGUCUCUUAUAC
RNAcentral lists this ribosomal RNA (307 nucleotides) under uncultured bacterium. RNAcentral's name for it is "partial 16S ribosomal RNA". It matches the Rfam family "Bacterial small subunit ribosomal RNA", at positions 506 to 807 of the family's 1533-position model. The record is from RNAcentral.